This 590-nucleotide ribosomal RNA is filed under the name uncultured bacterium. RNAcentral describes it as "bacterial SSU rRNA". The stretch from base 1 to 523 matches the Rfam family "Bacterial small subunit ribosomal RNA", at positions 338 to 873 of the family's 1533-position model. The record is from RNAcentral.
CCUACGGGAGGCAGCAGUGGGGAAUAUUGCACAAUGGGCGCAAGCCUGAUGCAGCGACGCCGCGUGAGGGAUGACGGCCUUCGGGUUGUAAACCUCUUUCAGUAGGGAAGAAGCGAAAGUGACGGUACCUGCAGAAGAAGCGCCGGCUAACUACGUGCCAGCAGCCGCGGUAAUACGUAGGGCGCAAGCGUUAUCCGGAAUUAUUGGGCGUAAAGAGCUCGUAGGCGGUUUGUCGCGUCUGCCGUGAAAGUCCGGGGCUCAACUCCGGAUCUGCGGUGGGUACGGGCAGACUAGAGUGAUGUAGGGGAGACUGGAAUUCCUGGUGUAGCGGUGAAAUGCGCAGAUAUCAGGAGGAACACCGAUGGCGAAGGCAGGUCUCUGGGCAUUAACUGACGCUGAGGAGCGAAAGCAUGGGGAGCGAACAGGAUUAGAUACCCUGGUAGUCCAUGCCGUAAACGUUGGGCACUAGGUGUGGGGGACAUUCCACGUUUUCCGCGCCGUAGCUAACGCNUAAGUGCCCGCCUGGGGNGCGCGCGAGACGUAACUACAAGAGAGUAGCGNGNGNGNGCGCGACGACGACGAGGAGGAGG